AUCAGAUUGCAGCAAAAUUGGAAGGUUAAAUGGCAUCGGAUGGUUGCUGCUGCUUCUGGAAAUGAAGGGUUUUACAUUGAUUUAUUUGACACUUCAUUAUAUGAUCCAGCGGUUGCAUUUCGCCCAUCUUCUGCAUCUGUGGUGCGUAUUGAGCAUGACCCAGCUGGGAUGCUGGCUGUGAAUUUACCGCCAAAUUCCUGCCGGACUCUUCAAUUUGAGUUUCUCGGUGCAAGUACACCUGCUGGUGUUAUAAAACAUAGCAGACUGAGACCAAAGGUGUCUUUUGAGGAUUCUUCUGGAGA
RNAcentral lists this unclassified non-coding RNA (302 nucleotides) under Hevea brasiliensis (rubber tree). Lineage: Eukaryota; Viridiplantae; Streptophyta; Magnoliopsida; Malpighiales; Euphorbiaceae. The record is from RNAcentral.